Drosophila mojavensis is the source of this 648-nucleotide long non-coding RNA. RefSeq lists it as uncharacterized. The transcript is spliced from 2 exons. The record is from RefSeq and is a predicted model, not a curated record. Lineage: Eukaryota; Metazoa; Arthropoda; Insecta; Diptera; Drosophilidae.
CUAAGAUGAGUUAAAUUUGUUUUUGACACGGGAAAAUAAAAUAGGAAAAUAUCCUCAAUAUAUGUAUAAUGUUAUAUCAUAAACUAUACCAUAUUUAACCUGCAUUUUUACGAAAAAUUACUAAAUUAUGGAGUGUUGUAUAAGCUGCUCGAUUCUUAGUCCAUUUAGGCAUCUGUGUCUAGAAAUGCUGAGGUAAUGAAAAAAUUGACAGUAAAUGGAUUCUUGCGGAGAGCACAGCCCGCCGAGCCACGGUGCUUCAGUCAAGAAAGAGUUUAGACCUAAUUGGUAAAGCAAGUAUGAGUGCUUUAGACGAGGCUGCUCAACCAGGAGAUGCCCUAAGCCCUGCAUUGAGCUGAUAUUCCAAUCGUGCUACGCCUUUAAAAAGGCCCUAUAUUGAAAUAACAUUUCCACUGGGUUCGGAUAUAACAAGAUGGUAUUCAAGCUUCGAUAUCAGAAAACCUCUCCAUCGAUUGUUGAGCAGACCUCGCAUAUUUUAUGGAUACGAAGAUUUCUCAUAGUGCUCCUGGUUUUUCAGCUUGACUAAGAGCCACCAAAGAUUACUGCAUAGAGUCUCUGAGUCUCUUCUUCAUGUGUCUAUAUUAAAUUAUAGAAUAAAUAAAAUACCAUUGCAAUUUGUUUUUAAAAUAA